UAAGAGCCCUUCUUGUUUAGUUAUUAUUCUAUUCCCUAAGACCCACCAUCUAUAAUAUCUAUCACUUCAUCCAUUUGAUGUAUAAUGUACGAUUCCAAUUCCAUGUCAAACGCUUCUAUAAAUAUGGACUUGCCCCAUGCAGCUACACAACUCAUACACUGCUUUCUAGAGCUUCAAGCGUUUGAGGGUAUAAAGAAGGAGAAGAAGAAUGGCAUCACUCAAGGCUGAGAAACCUGCUCACCAGGCCGCACUGGUCAAGAAAGAGCCAACCAAAGCUAGCACCGGUGCACCCAAAGCUCCAGCCUCUAAGCCGGCCCCUAAAAGGGCCGAGCAGAAGCCCCGGGAGCCUAGGAAGAAGGUAACCGGAAGCAAGCCAACAACAAAAUGAAGACAUUCAACAAUAUGAAGAAUCCAUGAAUUAGUCUUAAUUCAUGGUGAUCAUAUUGAAUCAUAUCUAUCCAUAUUAAUGUAUUUAACUUUUGUUGCUACUUGUCAAUGUCUCUCCUUUUAGGCUUCGCCUAAUCAUGAAUAAACUAUAUACUUAGAGGUGUUGAUUGGUU
Molecule: long non-coding RNA, 560 nt
Organism: Ricinus communis (castor bean)
Lineage: Eukaryota; Viridiplantae; Streptophyta; Magnoliopsida; Malpighiales; Euphorbiaceae
Exons: 2
Source: RefSeq, a predicted model, not a curated record